UCGAGAAUUUUUCUCAAUGGGGGAAACCCUGAAGGAGCGACGCCGCGUGGAGGAUGAAGGUCUUCGGAUUGUAAACUCCUGUCAUUUGGGAACAAUUGUCACCUAUUAACUACAGCGGACUUGAUAGUACCAGAAGAGGAAGAGACGGCUAACUCUGUGCCAGCAGCCGCGGUAAUACAGAGGUCUCAAGCGUUGUUCGGAUUCAUUGGGCGUAAAGGGUGCGUAGGUGGCGGGGUAAGUCAGGUGUGAAAUCUCGGAGCUCAACUCCGAAACUGCACUUGAUACUGCCUUGCUCGAGUACUGGAGAGGAGAUUGGAAUUUACGGUGUAGCAGUGAAAUGCGUAGAUAUCGUAAGGAAGACCAGUGGCGAAGGCGAAUCUCUGGACAGUUACUGACACUGAGGCACGAAGGCCAGGGGAGCAAACGGGAUUAGAUACCCCUGUAGUCC
Molecule: ribosomal RNA, 448 nt
Filed under: uncultured bacterium
Lineage: Bacteria
Description: bacterial SSU rRNA
Rfam family: Bacterial small subunit ribosomal RNA
Source: RNAcentral